AGUGAACGCUGGCGGUAGGCCUAACACAUGCAAGUCGAACGGCAGCACAGUAAGAGCUUGCUCUUACGGGUGGCGAGUGGCGGACGGGUGAGGAAUACAUCGGAAUCUACUUUUUCGUGGGGGAUAACGUAGGGAAACUUACGCUAAUACCGCAUAUGACCUACGGGUGAAAGCAGGGGAUCUUCGGACCUUGCGCGAUUGAAUGAGCCGAUGUCGGAUUAGCUAGUUGGCGGGGUAAAGGCCCACCAAGGCGACGAUCCGUAGCUGGUCUGAGAGGAUGAUCAGCCACACUGGAACUGAGACACGGUCCAGACUCCUACGGGAGGCAGCAGUGGGGAAUAUUGGACAAUGGGCGCAAGCCUGAUCCAGCCAUACCGCGUGGGUGAAGAAGGCCUUCGGGUUGUAAAGCCCUUUUGUUGGGAAAGAAAAGCAGCGGGUUAAUACCCCGCUGUUCUGACGGUACCCAAAGAAUAAGCACCGGCUAACUUCGUG
This 492-nucleotide ribosomal RNA is filed under the name uncultured bacterium. RNAcentral's name for it is "partial 16S ribosomal RNA". It matches the Rfam family "Bacterial small subunit ribosomal RNA", at positions 29 to 507 of the family's 1533-position model. The record is from RNAcentral.